CUCUAUUAUAGUCUCUCUUCUCCAUCUCUAUCAGUAGGUCAUCUCUAUUAUAGUCUCUCUUCUCCAGCUCUAUCAGUAGGUCAUCUCUAUUAUAGUCUCUCUUCUCCAGCUCUAUCAGUAGGUCAUCUCUAUUAUAGUCUCUCUUCUCCAGCUCUAUCAGUAGGUCAUCUCUAUUAUAGUCUCUCUUCUCCAGCUCUAUCAGUAGGUCAUCUCUAUUAUAGUCUCUCUUCUCCAGCUCUAUCAGUAGGUCAUCUCUAUUAUAGUCUCUCUUCUCCAGCUCUAUCAGUAGGUCAUCUCUAUUAUAGUCUCUCUUCUCCAGCUCUAUCAGUAGGUCAUCUCUAUUAUAGUCUCUCUUCUCCAGCUCUAUCAGUAGGUCAUCUCUAUUAUAGUCUCUCUUCUCCAGCUCUAUCAGUAGGUCAUCUCUAUUAUAGUCUCUCUUCUCCAGCUCUAUCAGUAGGUCAUCUCUAUUAUAGUCUCUCUUCUCCAGCUCUAUCAGUAGGUCAUCUCUAUUAUAGUCUCUCUUCUCCAGCUCUAUCAGUAGGUCAUCUCUAUUAUAGUCUCUCUUCUCCAGCUCUAUCAGUAGGUCAUCUCUAUUAUAGUCUCUCUUCUCCAGCUCUAUCAGUAGGUCAUCUCUAUUAUAGUCUCUCUUCUCCAGCUCUAUCAGUAGGUCAUCUCUAUUAUAGUCUCUCUUCUCCAGCUCUAUCAGUAGGUCAUCUCUAUUAUAGUCUCUCUUCUCCAGCUCUAUCAGUAGGUCAUCUCUAUUAUAGUCUCUCUUCUCCAGCUCUAUCAGUAGGUCAUCUCUAUUAAGAUACUUAACAGUA
Oncorhynchus keta (chum salmon) is the source of this 821-nucleotide long non-coding RNA. RefSeq lists it as uncharacterized. The record is from RefSeq and is a predicted model, not a curated record. The transcript has 3 exons. NCBI's taxonomy places the organism in Eukaryota, Metazoa, Chordata, Actinopteri, Salmoniformes, Salmonidae.